GACAAUGUUUUUUUGGAAUUCUGUAAAUUAUUUGGUCUAAGUUAAAUUAGCAACAGUGCUAAGAUUAUGGCCAUCAAGAUUUAGAACAUAUGAAUAAAUAUGCAUUACAUACUUCUUGUGGGGCGCCUUUUUGUCUUGCUUUUUAACAUCAUUACAUUGAAUUGUUUGUCUCAUUAUCAUGGUUUUUGUGGGAAUAUUUUGAUUUAGGCA
Molecule: unclassified non-coding RNA, 210 nt
Filed under: Hevea brasiliensis (rubber tree)
Lineage: Eukaryota; Viridiplantae; Streptophyta; Magnoliopsida; Malpighiales; Euphorbiaceae
Source: RNAcentral